AAGUCGUAACAAGGUUUCCGUAGGUGAACCUGCGGAAGGAUCAUUAACACUUAAAAUAAAAACAAUUUCCCUUUUGAAUCCCUCUCUUUUCUUUUCUCUUUCUCUUCUCUUCGGAGGGGAGACUGGGGAAGUCAAGAGAUUUUCAAAUUUAAUUUGAACAAAAAUGUGUAACCUUACUUUUUUACUUAUGGAUUUGAGGGCAAGAAAAGAGGGAGUUUUCAACUCUCUCUCUUCGUGGUUCUCAGAUUUUCUCAUAAACCAGUUAAACCCAAUAAAUCAAAAUAUGGCGUAUCUCAAAGGGACUUUUUGUCUCUCUGACGAUCCCCCAUAGUUAAACCAAAAACCAAAAACCAAAAACCAAAAACAAAAAACUAAAAAAUAAAACACAACUCUUAACAAUGGAUAUCUUGGUUCUCGC
Molecule: unclassified non-coding RNA, 418 nt
Filed under: fungal sp.
Lineage: Eukaryota; Fungi
Description: partial internal transcribed spacer region
Rfam family: Eukaryotic small subunit ribosomal RNA (bases 1-46)
Source: RNAcentral